CAACUUGCGAGAGUGAGCGAAUCCCAAAAAGUGCGUCGUAGUCCGGAUCGGAGUCUGCAACUCGACUCCGUGAAGUCGGAAUCGCUAGUAAUCGUGGAUCAGAAUGCCACGGUGAAUACGUUCCCGGGCCUUGUACACACCGCCCGUCACACCAUGGGAGUGGGCUGCAAAAGAAGUAGGUAGUUUAACCUUCGGGAGGACGCUUACCACUUUGUGGUUCAUGACUGGGGUGAAGUCGUAACAAGGUAGCGCUAGGGGAACCUGGCGCUGGAUCACCUCCUUAUACGAUGAU
This 292-nucleotide ribosomal RNA is filed under the name Vibrio rotiferianus. RNAcentral's name for it is "partial 16S ribosomal RNA". It matches the Rfam family "Bacterial small subunit ribosomal RNA", at positions 1251 to 1533 of the family's 1533-position model. The record is from RNAcentral. Lineage: Bacteria; Pseudomonadati; Pseudomonadota; Gammaproteobacteria; Vibrionales; Vibrionaceae.